AUCAUAGACAAUUAAGUAUUCAUCUUGCUCAUAACUCCAACCGAUCAACAGAACAACGCUCGUGCAAUCCAUCAGGCUCAUGAUUUUCAGUUCUGUUGUGAAAACUUCUCUUGCAUACUUGUGUCUGCUGCAGAUUCUAUUGACGGUAAACUAUCUUAUCAGAAUUGCUAAGGUACCCUCUGUAGACACUUGCAGUACCUCCUCUUCCCAACAUAUUUUCACUUGAAAAGUUCUCCGUAGCUUAAGCUAGUUCUCGGUUAAGGUAACUUCUUACACAAAAUAUCACUUGCAAAAUCCUCACUCGUAUGAGAGAUUCUGUUUGUUGAUUUGCUUGUGUUCAUCUUGUGUAUCUCUAGGAGUAAUGCGGAUGCACUAGCUGCAGUCAUGAGGACACAAAUCACAACAAUAAAUUUCCGAUUAGCAUUUCCAUGCUUAUAUUUCAAAAGUGAACCUAAACGGCUUUCUAAAUAAAAAUUAUUCAAAGCCAUUUCAAUUUUUUUUGUAUCCAUCAAAUUUUGACUCCAGGUGAUCACUAUCCCCAUCCAUUGCACCUCCAUGCUUCAUGUUGCUACAGUAGAAGCAUUCAUUGACAACUGAAGUAAUCAGAACUUUUUUCCGGUCAUUACCAUGCUGCCACACCCCACGCAGGUAUGUUAUAUUAGCUAAGGUGGACAUCCGAACAAAAGCUGCUUCCACUUGUAUCAACUCAGAACUAAUAUUCCAAGAAACUUGAUCAUAGCUGGAGUUCGGAUUGUAGCUUGCUAUGGUACAUGUUCUUUCGUCAGCGUUUAUGUCCCUUGUGAUGGCCUCACUCUUAACAGCUUUGGAUAUGCACUUGAGGGUAUCAAGCAUGGUGACCCUAGCAAGAGGAUUAUCCUUGCAGGUGAGAGUGCCUCCACAGGAAAAAUUGCUGCCUUGUCAAAGGGGACUAGACAUGUUUGACAAAAAUGGAUCGACUGUGGGAAGAAGAACGAGAAAGACUGACAAUCCGAAAAGAAAGAAGACAGCAUUAGGAUGCAUGGACAAAAGAAUGAGUUGAACAGACAAUUGGAUUCUCAGUAAUGCAGAAUCAAAGUGCAGUGGUGAGUGUUGUUUUUGUACUUCAUAUACUAAUAGUAGGAAG
Molecule: unclassified non-coding RNA, 1123 nt
Filed under: Hevea brasiliensis (rubber tree)
Lineage: Eukaryota; Viridiplantae; Streptophyta; Magnoliopsida; Malpighiales; Euphorbiaceae
Source: RNAcentral